Notechis scutatus (mainland tiger snake) is the source of this 412-nucleotide non-coding RNA. The record is from RefSeq and is a predicted model, not a curated record. Lineage: Eukaryota; Metazoa; Chordata; Lepidosauria; Squamata; Elapidae.
AAGAAAAUAAAGUAACUAUUUACCAACUAUUCAAAAUACACCUUUGUACUGAAAACAGCUCUUGGUAAAUUACAGUCAACAAAUAUAUAUGAUUGGACCACAUGAGUUCGUUAUUCUCAUUGUGAAGAUGACAGUUUAUUGUUCCCCACAAUUAAUACAUAUUGAAGUGUAUUUCCAUCACUGUAAAUAGGUAAUAAUUUUGAGUGCGACAAAAACAGUUUAAUGAUUCAAUAAUAGUAGAAAACAAAAUAAGAUUAUCACUGAAAAUUUUGUCCAUUUAGAACAGAAUGUUCUGGAAAUUCUGGAAGUUCCAGUCUCUCUCCUGAAUAUCCUUGACCCUCCUCCUAAGCAGGUUUUUGGGGGAUACUUCAAAAAUUUCCAGAAGUAACUUCUUUAAAAAUGCAUUAUUUUU